UGUGCCUACGGGAGGCAGCAGUGGGGAAUAUUGGACAAUGGGGGAAACCCUGAUCCAGCGACGCCGCGUGAGUGAAGAAGUAUUUCGGUACGUAAAGCUCUAUCAGCAGGAAAGAAAAUGACGGUACCUGACUAAGAAGCCCCGGCUAACUACGUGCCAGCAGCCGCGGUAAUACGUAGGGGGCAAGCGUUAUCCGGAUUUACUGGGUGUAAAGGGAGCGCAGACGGCAGUGCAAGUCUGGAGUGAAGGCCCGGGCCCCAACCCCGGA
This 268-nucleotide ribosomal RNA is filed under the name uncultured bacterium. Its description in RNAcentral is "partial 16S ribosomal RNA". It matches the Rfam family "Bacterial small subunit ribosomal RNA", at positions 334 to 619 of the family's 1533-position model. The record is from RNAcentral.